This 497-nucleotide ribosomal RNA is filed under the name uncultured bacterium. Its description in RNAcentral is "partial 16S ribosomal RNA". It matches the Rfam family "Bacterial small subunit ribosomal RNA", at positions 28 to 507 of the family's 1533-position model. The record is from RNAcentral.
GACGAACGCUGGCGGCGUGCCUAAUACGUGCAAGUAGAACGCUGAAGAGAGGAGCUUACUCCUCUUGGAUGAGUUGCGAACGGGUGAGUAACGCGUAGGUAACCUGCCUUGUAGCGGGGGAUAACUAUUGGAAACGAUAGCUAAUACCGCAUAACAAUGGAUGACACAUGUCAUUUAUUUGAAAGGGGCAAUUGCUCCACUACAAGAUGGACCUGCGUUGUAUUAGCUAGUAGGUGAGGUAAUGGCUCACCUAGGCGACGAUACAUAGCCGACCUGAGAGGGUGAUCGGCCACACUGGGACUGAGACACGGCCCAGACGCCUACGGGAGGCAGCAGUAGGGAAUCUUCGGCAAUGGGGGCAACCCUGACCGAGCAACGCCGCGUGAGUGAAGAAGGUUUUCGGAUCGUAAAGCUCUGUUGUAAGUCAAGAACGGGUGUGAGAGUGGAAAGUUCACAAUGUGACGGUAGCUUACCAGAAAGGGACGGCUAACUACGUG